RNAcentral lists this ribosomal RNA (569 nucleotides) under Wolbachia sp. RNAcentral describes it as "bacterial SSU rRNA". It matches the Rfam family "Bacterial small subunit ribosomal RNA", at positions 251 to 840 of the family's 1533-position model. The record is from RNAcentral. Lineage: Bacteria; Pseudomonadati; Pseudomonadota; Alphaproteobacteria; Rickettsiales; Anaplasmataceae.
GGUGGAGUAAUAGCCUACCAAGGCAAUGAUCUAUAGCUGAUCUGAAAGGAUGAUCAGCCACACUGGAACUGAGAUACGGUCCAGACUCCUACGGGAGGCAGCAGUGGGGAAUAUUGGACAAUGGGCGAAAGCCUGAUCCAGCCAUGCCGCAUGAGUGAAGAAGGCCUUUGGGUUGUAAAGCUCUUUUAGUGAGGAAGAUAAUGACGGUACUCACAGAAGAAGUCCUGGCUAACUCCGUGCCAGCAGCCGCGGUAAUACGGAGAGGGCUAGCGUUAUUCGGAAUUAUUGGGCGUAAAGGGCGCGUAGGCUGAUUAAUAAGUUAAAAGUGAAAUCCCGAGGCUUAACCUUGGAAUUGCUUUUAAAACUAUUAAUCUAGAGAUUGAAAGAGGAUAGAGGAAUUCCUGAUGUAGAGGUAAAAUUCGUAAAUAUUAGGAGGAACACCAGUGGCGAAGGCGUCUAUCUGGUUCAAAUCUGACGCUGAAGCGCGAAGGCGUGGGGAGCAAACAGGAUUAGAUACCCUGGUACUCCACGCUGUAAACGAUGAAUGUUAAAUAUGGGAAGUUUACUUU